RNAcentral lists this ribosomal RNA (170 nucleotides) under Platymiscium yucatanum. RNAcentral describes it as "5.8S ribosomal RNA". It matches the Rfam family "5.8S ribosomal RNA". From Rfam's summary of the family: 5.8S ribosomal RNA (5.8S rRNA) is a component of the large subunit of the eukaryotic ribosome. It is transcribed by RNA polymerase I as part of the 45S precursor that also contains 18S and 28S rRNA. The record is from RNAcentral. Lineage: Eukaryota; Viridiplantae; Streptophyta; Magnoliopsida; Fabales; Fabaceae.
GUUUAAAACGACUCUCGACAACGGAUAUCUCGGCUCUUGCAUCGAUGAAGAACGUAGCGAAAUGCGAUACUUGGUGUGAAUUGCAGAAUCCCGUGAACCAUCGAGUUUUUGAACGCAAAGUUGCGCCCGAAGCCAUUAGGUUGAGGGCACGCCUGCCUGGGUGUCACUAA